AUACGUAGGGUGCGAGCGUUGUCCGGAAUUACUGGGCGUAAAGAGCUCGUAGGUGGUUUGUCGCGUCGUCUGUGAAAUUCCGGGGCUUAACUCCGGGCGUGCAGGCGAUACGGGCAUAACUUGAGUACUGUAGGGGAGACUGGAAUUCCUGGUGUAGCGGUGAAAUGCGCAGAUAUCAGGAGGAACACCGGUGGCGAAGGCGGGUCUCUGGGCAGUAACUGACGCUGAGGAGCGAAAGCAUGGGUAGCGAACAGGAUUAGAUACCCUGGUAGUCCAUGCCGUAAACGGUGGGCGCUAGGUGUAGGGGUCUUCCACGACUUCUGUGCCGUAGCUAACGCAUUAAGCGCCCCGCCUGGGGAGUACGGCCGCAAGGCUAAAACUCAAAGGAAUUGACGGAG
This 398-nucleotide ribosomal RNA is filed under the name uncultured bacterium. RNAcentral describes it as "partial 16S ribosomal RNA". It matches the Rfam family "Bacterial small subunit ribosomal RNA", at positions 523 to 918 of the family's 1533-position model. The record is from RNAcentral.